Bubalus bubalis (water buffalo) is the source of this 1621-nucleotide long non-coding RNA. RefSeq lists it as uncharacterized. The record is from RefSeq and is a predicted model, not a curated record. The transcript has 3 exons. NCBI's taxonomy places the organism in Eukaryota, Metazoa, Chordata, Mammalia, Artiodactyla, Bovidae.
AUCAAAUUCUCACUAGAUCCCAGGGGAAGCCUUGGGCCACUUGCAAAAUUCCAACGGUCAGCGGGGCUGCUGACCAGACGUGGUGGCUCUGCUCUUGUCCAACCCAGGAGCCGGGGGCCAAACCCGGCCCGCAGACCUGCUUGGACUGCACCUCCUCCCUGGGGCACCACUGGCGAUGGUCCAAAUGCCCCACCUGGUGACUGUGACAGCUGAAAGUGGGCAGGACAGGUGAGCAUCGCUGAGGUGGGGACAGUGCUACCUGGUGUCUGCUACCAGCUGUCGUGGUCUGGGCAGGGCUGGCUACCCACCUGACCCGUGAUGCCAGGGGUCCUGCAGACCAGCCUGGAGCCUCCCACCCACCCCCAACCACAGAAGCUUCUGCAGGCCAAGGUCUGGGGGCUGAGGGCCUUCACCAGAGUCUGUCCUGGGUCUUGAGAGGCCACUUUGCAGCCAGAGGCACAGAGAGGCUAAGGGACCUGCCUGGCAGGUGGUGGGUGUAUCGACAAAGCCCAGGCCAUGGACCUGCAGGGCGGCCUCCCUCCACUUCCGAAUGGCUGUCGCUCAGCUUCUCUGUGCCUCAGUUUCUGCCCGGGAGGAAGAAGCCACAGGAGGUCACAGCGGGGAUCUUCUGGUGUUGCGUGAUGACCCGUCUACCUCCCACUGUCAUCUCGAAGCAAACCUGCCAACAGGGAGGUGCGGCUGCCUCGGGGUGUUAGGUAACACCCCAGCCUGCUCCUCAGACUGCAGCCGCGCGGCUGGACCCAGAUCCUCCUGGCGCCCGAGGCGGCUGCUGCAGCCGGUCCUGCUGGUGGCGGCUGGGGGCUGGAGGGGACGGCUGCAGGCUCUGGAGAGGCGCAUGCGGGACGGCUGGUCCUCUCCACACCCCCAGGGGGUGCCCGUCCUGCAGUACCCGCCGGCCCUCACUGGGCAGCCUGCAGCACCUGUCCACGGCCCCUCCGGACACCGCUUGGACACUCCCCUGGAGACUCUGCCAGCUCCGGACCUGCAGGGUCCCCGCCAAGAAGAGCCUGUGCUGGGGGCGGCCAGGGUCCGAGGGGUCAGCUGAGCCCUCUGCUGGGCCAGUGCACCACCCCGCCCCACUGCCCACCCCACCUCCCCCCAGAGGCGGGGUGGCAGAGCUCAGUGGAAACUCCAGGGGCCCAGCCUGGAGGAGGGAGCCGGCCCGCCUGGAGGAGGGAGCCAGCCCGCCGCGCCCGGAUGCCCUGCUGCACAGGCAGGAGCAGCCGGCUCGGGACCCCAGGAGAGCCCCGGAGCUGGAUGCAGGGCUGCUCUAGACCGGGCUAGCUGACCAAACCGGCCAGCGUGGAGGACUCGGGGAGACAGAGGUGAUGGUCACGGAGCCUGGGUUCAAGUCCCUGCUUCUCACCAGCUGCAUGUCCCUGGGCAAGGGCCUGCCUUCUGCCUCUGCUCCCUUUGUCCAUCUGAGAGGUUAAUAAUCGUGCCUGCCUCGCCACCACUUUUGUGAGAAUGAAAUAAGCUCCCGGGUGUGGGGUGGCUGGCAUGGUGUAACACCAGACCAUAGGUGUGUUUUUGGUUGUUGCCACUAAAAAUUUAACUGAACGUUCGUUAAUUUUGAUGUUGCAUUUUCCUAUUCAUCUUU